CCUUGAAGUGACCGAGGACUUUAGAAUUCGGCCGGCGUCCUGGGACGGAGCUCGCGCUCCUGGGCUCGGCGGCCCUGGUGCUGGUGGCUGGGGGCGCCUUGGGUGCUGCUCGCAGCCGCAGGACCGCUCUUCUCCAGGCGACCUUCCCUCUCCCCAGGAUCCAUCUUUGACAGAUACCGCUUCUCACUGACAGCUCAAGACUGUCAAAGGCUGCUUGGCUGUGCCGUGCGUGCGUUAGGUGGCUGCGUAAAGACUCUGCAUGCAAAAA
Mesocricetus auratus (golden hamster) is the source of this 268-nucleotide long non-coding RNA. RefSeq lists it as uncharacterized. The transcript is spliced from 2 exons. NCBI's taxonomy places the organism in Eukaryota, Metazoa, Chordata, Mammalia, Rodentia, Cricetidae. The record is from RefSeq and is a predicted model, not a curated record.